UUAACGAUAAUAACCUUGAGAUGGCUCUGCAGUUUCAACAUAUUUCAUCUGUUUUUACAACAAACUACCAAUUUCUGAUUUACAUUAUGAAUGGGCAAACUUUGCACGUAGUACAAUUUGUCUCAAUUUGUGUUUGGCCAUUGACUUCCAUACACAUUUUUUUUUCAUGAAGAACUACAGAAGGGAUGGAACAUCAGCGUCUUCCAUCGAAAAAUAGCAUCAAUAAGACCAAGAAAUAAUUUGGUCUCACUACUUGUCUGGCAUAGCUGGACUUGUACAAGUGAUAAUGGAUGUAAUGGACACCUUCAUCAUUCUGGAAUAGGGGUCAAACUUCUGUGGGUUGUUUGGUGGGUUCUAAGCUGCCGACUGUGGGAUUCUGCUACAGUUAAUUCGCAAAAUAAUGUUGGAAGAUACGCUUUUUGGUGGAACAUGUAUAAGAGAAAGCCUUAUUCUGGCAGAGUAAAUCCAGCCAGAUGAGGUCGUACCAGCACUUUAUAAACCUUGGUGGGAACGCUGGGAAAGACGAUCCCAAAUCCGUCACAUGCAUUACAUUAACAUUCCUUAAUCAGAAUUUAUUUGAAAAAAAAAAUGUUUCCAUUUCUCAUUAUGCACAUUAACUCCAUUUUAAAAAGGAGUAUUUAUUUUAUUGUUUUCAGC
Sphaeramia orbicularis (orbiculate cardinalfish) is the source of this 657-nucleotide long non-coding RNA. RefSeq lists it as uncharacterized. The record is from RefSeq and is a predicted model, not a curated record. NCBI's taxonomy places the organism in Eukaryota, Metazoa, Chordata, Actinopteri, Kurtiformes, Apogonidae. The transcript has 2 exons.